This 395-nucleotide ribosomal RNA is filed under the name Hydromanicus melli. Its description in RNAcentral is "eukaryotic LSU rRNA". Lineage: Eukaryota; Metazoa; Arthropoda; Insecta; Trichoptera; Hydropsychidae. The record is from RNAcentral.
AUCAGGGGUAAACCUGUGGAACUCGAACGAGUGAACGGGGAGACUCAUCUGUUCUCCGGGCGUCCGCGGCGAYGCGRUGUCAUGGCGUCGCUCUUCGCCGUGGCGUCCGGAAGCGGUGCACUUCUCCCUUAGUAAAACACCGCGACCCGUUGCUGGGUCGAACGCACCGUCAGUUGUCCCGUCUCCGGAGGCGGAGCUGUGGUGUCGUGACUCUCCUGCGACGGUAGAGAACGAGGAUCGCUUCCGCCGGCGUCUGUUGUGUGGSGGCGUCGUUCCCCGUAUGGUCGGCGUGCGUCGAUCGUGCGGAACGGCGCGUCUGUUGCGCAAAUUCAGACGGGAAGCGUCCCGGUCSGCGGUGGUUUUGUUUCGGGCACUCACAGGACCCGUCUUGAAAC